GCCACCUUAGCUCAGUUGGUUAGAGCGUUGCCAUGGUAAGGCAGAGGUCCCCGGUUCAAUUCCGGGAGGUGGCU
RNAcentral lists this transfer RNA (74 nucleotides) under Candidatus Campbelliibacteriota bacterium. RNAcentral's name for it is "Candidatus Campbellbacteria bacterium tRNA-Thr". It matches the Rfam family "tRNA". Rfam says of the family: Transfer RNA (tRNA) molecules are approximately 80 nucleotides in length. Lineage: Bacteria; Candidatus Campbelliibacteriota. The record is from RNAcentral.